CCUACUGUGCGCUGGGCCCCUUGGGUGUGUUGGACGCCUACUGUGCGCUGGGCCCCUCGGGUGUGUUGGACGCCUACUGUGCGCUGGGCCAUUUGGGUGUGUUGAGCACCUACUGUGUGCUGGACCCCUCGGGUGUGUUGAGUGCCUACUGUGUACUGGGCCCUUUGGGUGUGUUGGAUGCCUACUGUGCGCUGGACCCUUCAGGUGUUGGAAGAAGUGUAAGGCUCAGUCGUUGCCCUCCAAGAAAUGAAUGUUUAGUUGGGGAAACAAAGUCCACAGGAGGCAGAUGGAAGCAUGGCCCCGACCAGACGCCUUUCAUGUCCGAGGUUGGCCUUCAUGUGGCCACAGCCCCCCGUGUUCACCCAGGUGCGUCUAAUAGGCCGCCUUGGGUUUUAUGAGAUAACGGUCUGCACCUGAUAGCUGUGACUGGGAGGCGGCAACCCGGCCAGCCAGGUCAGUCUGUCUGUAGCGAAAAGCCAAGGAAUGAGGUAAUACCUGGACGCACGCACUGUGGUCAAAGUCAAAUCCCCCAGGGCUUUCUGGAAGAACUGAGAGUGUCUCUGGGCCUUUUCCUGCUUCCUGCACCCAGUAACCUAGAAGAUCACUGGCCAUCUUUGCCCGCAGCAGCCCCCUUUGCCCUGCAGGACGGAGGCUGUGACAUGGCUUCCCGUAGGACGCGCUGCGGCAUUCGUGAGUCAGGGCCAGUGCACCGAGCCACGGAGCACCCUCAGCUGCCAGCUCCGCCCUGGGGCUCACCUGGCCCUGCACAGAGUCUGCGAAGUGUCUGCCCUGGGGCUCCAGCCCCCACAGGUACAGCCAGGCCCCUGGUGGUGGGAGUCGGGAGGCCAGGCCUGGGCUGAGUCCGAAGCUGAGGCCUCCUCCCUCUGAGGCCUCCUCCCUCUGCUUGUUACCUGGGCCCGGCUUGGCUGCCUUGCUUUUAAAAACAUUUUCUUUGAAACAAAGAGUCUAUUUAUUACAUUUUAUUAACGGGGCGUGGGCCCGUGCCGGAGCAUCAGGUGGGCUCGGAGUCAGGUGGGCCCGGGCUGGGUCCAGCCCUUGCUUUAUAACCCGCGGGACCUGGGGCCGCCCUCGCCUCUCCGAAUCCCGGUUCCUUAUCUGUUUAAUGGGAGCGGAAUUCCCACCCGGCCGGGUUGUUGUGGGGCACAGGCGAGAUAACGUGCCAUAAAGUGCCCGUCAGGGGCUUGGCACGCAGCUGUGGGGCAGCCUGAGAGCGGCCUUGGUGGCACCGCUGGGGUAGGCGGCCCGUCUGCAGCGCGGGGCCGGCCGCGUCGUUCGCCUCUGCAGCCAGCCUGGGGCCCGGGGCCUCGGCACAGUGGACGAUCGCCGGGCGUCUGGCCACGGCGGAUUGGAGCCUCGGUCAGCCCGCGUCUAAGGGCAUGAGUGCCGUGAUCCGUUCCCCGGGCCUGGCACGCAGGGUUAAGGAGCCACCGCACACAACGUGUCCCUUCACAGCCUCUGGGAGGACGCAGUCGCGGCCAGACCCAGUGCCUGCAGGAGGAGCGGGUGUUGCCACAGGAAUCCGAGAAGAGGGAAGGGAUCUCGGCCGGGGGCUCCCUGAGGCGGGGGUGACUCCGGGCUCACGGUGCACGGGGCCUGUGGAUACUGAAACAGCACCCAGGUGAUUAAAGCCACAUCGUGUCCCUGAGCAGCCAGCCAGUGAGAUUCAGGAGCAGCUAACCUGGACCACAGCAGGCGUGGGAGGGUGUGUUCCAGCCACAGACGCGGGGCACCCUGUGGGACAUUAGGAGACGCUGCUGGUCACCAGACGCCGUGGUCCAGGCGGGGCUCUGUGCUGCGGCCCCGGGAGGGCUUGUCCACCCCCGAUGGCUGCUGGCGCUCUAAAGCGUUCUCCUCUCUCCACCCUCCUGGUGAAGUGCAGGGUGCCCGCUGCCGGGGAGACACCAGGCCUCCGUGGCCGGUGCGCAGACCACAUCAAGGUCAGGUGGACCCCUGGAGAAGUGGGGUCACUGGGGACAACUGUUCUGAGCACCCACAGAAUAGGCUGUUGAGGGCUAUGAUUCGAUAAGCCCUGGUGGGCCCGGCAGCCCCCUCUGUUGCUGCCGACUGUGGGGAUCUUUUUUAAAAUUUUUGUGAGACAGUCUUACUCUGUUGCCAGGCUGGAGUGCAGUGGUGCGAUCUCGGCUCACUGCAACCCUCACCUCCCGGGUUCAAGCGAUUCUUCUGCCUCAGCCUCCCAAGUACCUGGGAUUACAGGCGCCCGCC
Molecule: long non-coding RNA, 2244 nt
Filed under: Homo sapiens (human)
Lineage: Eukaryota; Metazoa; Chordata; Mammalia; Primates; Hominidae
Description: HSALNT0117569
Source: RNAcentral